UACGUAGGGGGCAAGCGUUGUCCGGAUGUAUUGGGCGUAAAGAGCGUGUAGGCGGCCAUACAGGUCCGUUGUGAAAACUGGAGGCUUAACCUCCAGACGUCGAUGGAAACCGUAUGGCUAGAGUCCGGAAGAGGAGAGUGGAAUUCCUGGUGUAGCGGUGAAAUGCGCAGAUAUCAGGAAGAACACCCGUGGCGAAGGCGGCUCUCUGGGACGGUACUGACGCUGAGACGCGAAAGCGUGGGGAGCUAACAGG
Molecule: ribosomal RNA, 253 nt
Filed under: uncultured bacterium
Lineage: Bacteria
Description: partial 16S ribosomal RNA
Rfam family: Bacterial small subunit ribosomal RNA
Source: RNAcentral